Molecule: ribosomal RNA, 1989 nt
Filed under: Callophyllis cervicornis
Lineage: Eukaryota; Rhodophyta; Florideophyceae; Gigartinales; Kallymeniaceae
Description: eukaryotic LSU rRNA
Rfam family: Eukaryotic large subunit ribosomal RNA
Source: RNAcentral
CGGAGGAAAAGAAACUAACAAGGAUUCCCCUAGUAGCGGCGAGCGAAGCGGGAAAAGCCCAAUAUGAAAAGCCUGCUUGCGGGCGUUGUAUUUGGAAGUCUCUGGGGUGUCAGUGCGUGUAAGUUGUAUGGAAAUACACGCCGUGGAGGGUGAGAGCCCCGUCCGACGCGCACAGGACACUCCGUACGAGGCUUUCCUAAUGAGUCGGGUAGCUUGGGAAUGCUGCUCUAAUUGGUGGUAAAUCUCAUCAAAGGCUAAAUAUUGACCGGAGACCGAUAGCGAACAAGUACCGUGAGGGAAAGAUGACAAGCACUUUGAAAAGAGGGUGAAAAGAGCCUGAAACCGUCAUGGGGGAAGCGGAUUGCGUUGUAUUGGUGGGUUGCCGUGUGUUCAGCCGUUCUGGUGUACUGGCACGGUAGCUUAUCUGUCGUGGGUUUCGAAGGGCUGAUUUUGAGCUGUUCGGGGCUGAGGGCUCCCCGUAUGGGUGAGGACGACAGAGUGAUGACGCGAUACGACCCGUCUUGAAACACGGACCAAGGAGUCUAGCGCGGUUGCGAGUCGAAGGGUGCAAGCCUGAGGGCGUAGUGAAAGCGAGUUUAAAACGAACAGUUUGGGGCGGCAUAGGAUCGUUGAUUCUAAGUCUGACCUUGAGCAAUUGCGCUGGGACCCGAAAGAUGGUGAACUAUGCCGGAGUAGGGCAAAGCCAGAGGAAACUCUGGUGGAGGCUCGUAGCGGUGCUGACGUGCAAAUCGCUCGUCGAACUUGGGUAUAGGGGCGAAAGACUAAUCGAACCAUCUAGUAGCUGGUUCCCUCCGAAGUUUCUCUCAGGAUAGCGGGCCGACAUGGGUUGUUUUGUGCGGUAAAGCGAAUGAUUAGCGCAAUCAGGGGCAAUUUGUCUUUGGGCGAUUCUCAAACUUUCAAUGCGCAAGGGUGCCGCUGCUUGGUUGAGCGGCACCGGCAAAAACGUCGGCCCUGUGGGCCACUUUUGGUAAGCAGAACUGGCGAUACGGGAUGAACCGUAAGCGUGGUUAAGGCGCCUAACUGCCCGCUUAGAGACCCCACAAAAGGUGUUGAUUCAUCGAGACAGCAGGACGGUGGCCAUGGAAGUCGGAAUCCGCUAAGGAGUGUGUAACAACUCACCUGCCGAAUGAAUUAGCCCUGAAAAUGGAUGGCGCUGAAGCGGGUGGCCGACACCACGCCGUCUGGUAAAGAAUUAUGAUCAGAUGAGUAGGAGGGCGUGGCGGUUGUAUCGAAGGGUAUGUGCAGACAUGCCUGGAACGGCCGCUAGUGCAGAUCUUGGUGGUAGUAGCAAGUAUUCAAGCGAGAUCCUUGAAGGGCGAAGCGGGGAAGGGUUCCACGCGAACAUUGAUUGGGCGUGGGUGAGUCGUUCCUAAGUCGAGUGGCAAUUGCUAAGUAGCGGCGAAAGGGAAGCUGGUUGACAUUCCAGCACACGGAUGUGGAGGCGGUGACGCGUAUUGGGACGAACACGCUGGCGGUGGCGCUGGGCAGAGUUGUCUUUUCUGUUUGACUUUGCGCGCGCGGUGUGGAAUCCGCUUGUCGGGAGAUACACGCGUGUCGAGGCAGAGCGCCGGGGCUUUUCCGGCGUCCAGCUCGCCACCGACGGCCCUUGAAACUUUGUCUGCUUAAUAAAUCCACGCCGUGGCGUACCGAUCACCGCAUCAGGUCCCCAAGGUGAACAGCCUCUGCUCUAUAUGAACAAUGCAGGUAAGGGAAGUCGGCAAAUUAGACCCGUAACUUUGGGAUAAGGGUUGGCUCUAGUGCUGCGUGGGAGUGGUUGCCCACGGUUGGGGGGGUUGGCGAGGCCGGCUGGGACGGGUCCCCCGGGACUGGUACCGGCUGCUGAGCGAAUGUUUCUGCUGUGGGCGACGCCCACGGCAUGCAGCAGACUAGAACUGCAACGGGCAAAGGGAAUCCGACUGUUUAAUUAAAACAAAGCAUUGCGAGGGCCGUGGCCGGUGAUGACGCAAU